UGGGGAAUAUUGCACAAUGGGGGAAACCCUGAUGCAGCGACGCCGCGUGAGCGAUGAAGGCUUUCGAGUCGUAAAGCUCUGUCCUAUGGGAAGAUAAUGACGGUACCAUAGAAGAAAGCCCCGGCUAAUUACGUGCCAGCAGCCGCGGUAAUACGUAAGGGGCGAGCGUUGUCCGGAAUUAUUGGGCGUAAAGAGUGCGUAGGCGGCAAAUUAAGUCAGAUGUGAAAACUAAGGGCUCAACCCAUAGAUUGCAUCUGAAACUGAUAUGCUUGAGGCAAGGAGAGGAAAGUGGAAUUCCUAGUGUAGCGGUGGAAUGCGUAGAUAUUAGGAGGAAUACCGGUGGCGAAGGCGACUUUCUGGACUUGAACUGACGCUGAGGCACGAAAGCGUGGGGAGCAAACAGG
Molecule: ribosomal RNA, 404 nt
Filed under: Verrucomicrobiota bacterium
Lineage: Bacteria; Pseudomonadati; Verrucomicrobiota
Description: Verrucomicrobia bacterium partial 16S ribosomal RNA
Rfam family: Bacterial small subunit ribosomal RNA
Source: RNAcentral